RNAcentral lists this ribosomal RNA (498 nucleotides) under uncultured bacterium. RNAcentral's name for it is "partial 16S ribosomal RNA". It matches the Rfam family "Bacterial small subunit ribosomal RNA", at positions 28 to 507 of the family's 1533-position model. The record is from RNAcentral.
GACGAACGCUGGCGGCGUGCCUAAUACAUGCAAGUCGAACGGUAGCGACCGUUGCUUGCUCUGGUCAUUCCAGUGGGGUACGGGUGAGUAACAUGUGGUUAACCCGCCUUUCAGAGGGGGCUAACAUUCGGAUACGGAUGCUAAAAAUGCACACGUCUUCCAUCGGCAUGGUUUGAAGAGGCAACGAGGUGCAAGUUUAUGCUGAUGGUUGGACCCGCGGUGCGUUGGCUAGUUGGUGCGGUAACGGCUCACCAAGGCGGUGAUGCAUAGCCGACGUGCGAAGGUGAUCGGCCACAGUGAGAGUGAGCCACGACCCAGACUCCGACAGGAGGCAGCGGUAGGGAAGCGUCCACGAUGGACGCAAGUCUGACGGAGCAACGCCACGUGGAUGAAGAAGGGCUGCGGAUCGGAAAACGCUGUUGUUAGAGAAGAACAAGUGCUAGAGUAACGGUUAGCUUCGUGACGGUACCUAAACAGGAAGCAACGGCUAACUACGUG